GGGGGUUACGCGGGGAAGUGAAACAUCUCAGUACCCGUAGGAGAAGAAAAUAAUAAUGAUUCUGCUAGUAGUGGCGAACGAACGUGGAUGAGGCUAAACCGUGUGCAUGUGAUACCUGGUAGGGGUUGUGUGUGCGGUGUUGUGGGCCCUGAUGAGGAUGGCUACUGACGUCCUGCCCGCGCAUUGUUGUUAGGUGAAGUGGUGUGGAAACGCCUGCCGUAGAAGGUGAUAGUCCUGUAGCUGAAGAUGAUGGUGUGUGGGUUGUUGGGUUGCCCGAGUAGCAGCGGGCUCGUGGAAUCUGCUGUGAAUCUGCCGGGACCACCCGGUAAGCCUAAAUACUCAGUGUGACCGAUAGUGGAUAGUACCGUGAGGGAAUGGUGAAAAGUACCCCGGGAGGGGAGUGAAAUAGUUCCUGAAACCAUGUGCUUACAAUCCGUCAGAGCACUUUUUGUGUGUGAUGGCGUGCCUUUUGAAGAAUGAGCCUGCGAGUCAGCGGCAUGUCGCGAGGUUAACCCGUGUGGGGUAGCCGUAGGGA
This 535-nucleotide ribosomal RNA is filed under the name Corynebacterium striatum. RNAcentral describes it as "partial 23S ribosomal RNA". It matches the Rfam family "Bacterial large subunit ribosomal RNA", at positions 176 to 674 of the family's 2925-position model. The record is from RNAcentral. Lineage: Bacteria; Bacillati; Actinomycetota; Actinomycetes; Mycobacteriales; Corynebacteriaceae.